RNAcentral lists this ribosomal RNA (1376 nucleotides) under Kocuria rosea. Its description in RNAcentral is "16S ribosomal RNA". It matches the Rfam family "Bacterial small subunit ribosomal RNA". The record is from RNAcentral. Lineage: Bacteria; Bacillati; Actinomycetota; Actinomycetes; Micrococcales; Micrococcaceae.
AGCUUGCUGGGCGGAUGAGUGGCGAACGGGUGAGUAAUACGUGAGUAACCUGCCCUUGACUCUGGGAUAAGCCUGGGAAACUGGGUCUAAUACUGGAUACUACCUCUUACCGCAUGGUGGGUGGUGGAAAGGGUUUUACUGGUUUUGGAUGGGCUCACGGCCUAUCAGCUUGUUGGUGGGGUAAUGGCUCACCAAGGCGACGACGGGUAGCCGGCCUGAGAGGGUGACCGGCCACACUGGGACUGAGACACGGCCCAGACUCCUACGGGAGGCAGCAGUGGGGAAUAUUGCACAAUGGGCGGAAGCCUGAUGCAGCGACGCCGCGUGAGGGAUGACGGCCUUCGGGUUGUAAACCUCUUUCAGUAGGGAAGAAGCGAGAGUGACGGUACCUGCAGAAGAAGCGCCGGCUAACUACGUGCCAGCAGCCGCGGUAAUACGUAGGGCGCAAGCGUUGUCCGGAAUUAUUGGGCGUAAAGAGCUCGUAGGCGGUUUGUCGCGUCUGCUGUGAAAGCCCGGGGCUCAACCCCGGGUCUGCAGUGGGUACGGGCAGACUAGAGUGCAGUAGGGGAGACUGGAAUUCCUGGUGUAGCGGUGAAAUGCGCAGAUAUCAGGAGGAACACCGAUGGCGAAGGCAGGUCUCUGGGCUGUUACUGACGCUGAGGAGCGAAAGCAUGGGGAGCGAACAGGAUUAGAUACCCUGGUAGUCCAUGCCGUAAACGUUGGGCACUAGGUGUGGGGGACAUUCCACGUUUUCCGCGCCGUAGCUAACGCAUUAAGUGCCCCGCCUGGGGAGUACGGCCGCAAGGCUAAAACUCAAAGGAAUUGACGGGGGCCCGCACAAGCGGCGGAGCAUGCGGAUUAAUUCGAUGCAACGCGAAGAACCUUACCAAGGCUUGACAUUCACCGGACCGCCCCAGAGAUGGGGUUUCCCUUCGGGGCUGGUGGACAGGUGGUGCAUGGUUGUCGUCAGCUCGUGUCGUGAGAUGUUGGGUUAAGUCCCGCAACGAGCGCAACCCUCGUUCUAUGUUGCCAGCACGUGAUGGUGGGGACUCAUAGGAGACUGCCGGGGUCAACUCGGAGGAAGGUGGGGAUGACGUCAAAUCAUCAUGCCCCUUAUGUCUUGGGCUUCACGCAUGCUACAAUGGCCGGUACAAAGGGUUGCGAUACUGUGAGGUGGAGCUAAUCCCAAAAAGCCGGUCUCAGUUCGGAUUGAGGUCUGCAACUCGACCUCAUGAAGUCGGAGUCGCUAGUAAUCGCAGAUCAGCAACGCUGCGGUGAAUACGUUCCCGGGCCUUGUACACACCGCCCGUCAAGUCACGAAAGUUGGUAACACCCGAAGCCGGUGGCCUAACCCCUUGUGGGAGGGAGCCGUCGAA